AUUCUUUAUCUCUGAAAAGGCAACUUUAUUAACUUAAUUCUGAAAAGUAAUUCACCGCUUUCUGAAACUUCACAAGAAGAAACUUCGGUCUCCGAGGAUGAACAUGUUUUCUAAUCUAUGUUGCUAUGUUUUCUUUCCUCUUCUACUUGGUCUUGCACUUUUUCCACAGAUAUCAUCUCAGCUUGAAACUUCUCACAAGGUAGAACUGCUUCCUGGCUUACAAGGGCCUCUUCCCUUUGAACUUGAAACUGGGUAUGUGGGGUUGGGAGAGUCAGAUGAUGAUAUGCAAGUCUUCUACUACUUUAUUAAGUCAGAGAAGGACCCUGAGAAAGACCCUCUUAUGCUUUGGCUAACUGGGGGCCCCGGUUGCUCUUCAUUUUCUGGCCUUGCUUUUCAAAUAGGUCCAUUUGCAUUUAAAAUUGAGGAGUAUGACGGGAGCUUGCCAAAUUUGGUCUUGAGGCCACAGUCCUGGACCAAGGCUUGUAGCAUUAUUUUUGUAGAUUUACCUUUUGGAACUGGCUUCUCCUAUGCGAAAAAUGUCAGAGCUCAAAGAAAUGACUGGAAUUUAGUUCACCAUUCCUAUCAAUUUAUUAGGAAGUGGCUGAUUGAUCACCCAGAAUUUCUUUCAAAUGAAUUUUACGUUGGAGCUGAUUCAUACUCUGGCAUUCCUGGCCCUGCUAUUGCUCAUGAAAUUUCAAUCGGAAAUGAAAUAGGUCUCCAACCAUGGAUAAAUCUCCAGGGAUAUCUGCUAGGGAACCCCAUAACAACCCGGAGAGAAAAAAAUUAUCAAAUCCCCUAUGCUCAUGGAAUGGGACUUAUUUCUGAUGAACUCUAUGCUUUACUACAGAGAAAUUGUAAAGGAGAGUAUAUAGAUAUAGAUACCUCAAAUGAAAUUUGUCUUAGAGAUCUCGACUACUUUGAUGAGUGCCUUUCAGGAAUUAAUAAGUUCUUCAUUUUGGAUAUCUAUUGCAAAGAUGAUUCGGCUUUGUGGAGGAGAUCUCUGACUCAGAAGUCGAUGGCCUCUCUUAAUUCUUAUCUCAGAAUACCAGACAUAAAAUGCCAAAUUUAUAGUUUUUUCCUUGCCACUCAAUGGGCCAAUGAUGAGAGUGUUCGCAAGGCGCUGCAUAUUCGAGAGGGAACUAUAGACAAAUGGGAACGAUGUUACACUACUGAUUUUGACCAUCAGAUCCAGAGUAGCUUUGAGUUUCAUGUAAAUCUCAGUGCAAAAGGCUAUCGUUCCUUAAUAUACAGUGGGGAUCAUGACCUUGUUGUUCCUUUCACAUCGACUCAAGCAUGGAUAAGGGCUCUAAACUACUCCAUUGUGGACGAUUGGAGACCAUGGUUUUUAAAUGGCCAAGUUGCAGGGUAGGCAUGAAACUUAUAGCUUUGAUAAAUUAAUUUGACUUGUUUUACAUGUUUUUGCUUAUCCAGAAAAAGAAAACAAAACUUGUUUUACAUGUCAAACCCCCAAAGAGAAUCUCAGAAUCCGACCAUUGCUUCUACACCAUCAUGUAUACUGUUCUUAGUGGGAAAAGUUUGGGUCCCUUUAAGCAUAUGGGACCAUGAGCUUGAUUCCAGGAUUUCUGUGUAUAGAGAAAAUAGAGGAAACAUCAUUGGGUAAGGGAUACCUUGAAAACAAUCUUUAUUAGUAUAUUCUAUAUAGUACAGGGAAAAGAUUAAUAUUAGAAAAGGAGAUACACCUUAUUCUUGUUUUCCACUCACUAUAAACUAAGAAGAAAUCCAAAACUUUCAAUCCUAUUAUACCAUUAUUUAUUUUUUAUAUCUCACAUUUCCUUACAAGAACAUCCUAAGACAGCAUGUAUCCAAAUCUUUGUGAUAAUUUUCCUUCCUUGCAGAUACACAAGGGCUUACUCGAAUAAAAUGACAUUUGCAACUGUGAAGGGUUCAGGACAUACAGCUCCCGAGUACAAGCCUGAUGAAGGUUUCGCCAUGUUCACUAGGUGGAUAGCUAAUGAGCCUUUGUAACUCAGCUUGUGUGUUAGUGGCAAUAUCUUUAGUCACCAAUAUUUAAAGAUUCUGUGUACUUAGUGGCAAUACAAUGACAAAUAAUUAUUUGACACAUCUGUACUAUCUCUGAUAUGAUAUCCCUUUUUCAUUUCUCUUAGUCUGAGAUAUUCAAUAUUAUAU
Abrus precatorius (Indian licorice) is the source of this 2148-nucleotide RNA transcript. It is a transcript of the gene named serine carboxypeptidase-like 11, with no coding region annotated. NCBI's taxonomy places the organism in Eukaryota, Viridiplantae, Streptophyta, Magnoliopsida, Fabales, Fabaceae. The record is from RefSeq and is a predicted model, not a curated record. The transcript has 14 exons.